UCUUUCUUUCAUGGAACGCAAAUAUUUCUUUUCUUUUCUUUUUUCUCAUGGAACGCAAAUACUUCUUUUCUUUUCUUUUUUCUUCUUUUUUUGGGGGUACCGUACCGGGGAUCGAACUCAGGAUCUUGUGCUUGCAACGCAGGCGCGGAGCCACUGAGCCCAGCCAGCCUCCAACGCGAAUAUUUCUGAUGAACGCACCUAGAAAAAAGUUGCUUGUCACAUAGAUCAUAGGUGGAUAAACAGGGACAUAUUUCCUUUCCUGAGGAGAAACCCGUUCCUCUAGCAAGAGCGACGCCUGCUGUCCAGUUUCCCCGAGGCUGCACAGCCAGUUUAACCCUCAUACCCCACUGCGAGGCUACCUUUUUACUAUUUUAAAAACUUUUUCUAUGUUAGUCACAUUUUAGGCUUAUGUAGACUUUUUUUUUUACAAUAGCAUUUAUUAUACAGAAUCAAAAGCUACACUGCUGAAAAAACCACCAGUAGAAUCUCACACACAUUUCUGCCAGCUGAGGAAGUUUGACGGAUGUUCUCUUUUCUCUUGCAGCCUUUGGUGGGUGGGUUUCUUGCCUGACCCUUUCUACCACCAACUGCACGUGCGACCCUCACUCACUAGAUGCUCACAGGCAGGGACAGCAGACACAAUCGGAUGUCCUUGGUGCUCGACUUUAGGAAAUAAGGCAGCUAAGGACAAGACCAUUCGAGUGUGAAAAGUUCUGCCCUGAAAUAACUCUGGAUGCCCUCAUUUUAUAUAAACAACUUUUACAGAUGUUUAAAAACUUAAUUGAAAAAUUGUGUUGAUUUAUUGGUCUUUACUGAACUUUGCAGUUUGCAGUAUAGUGAGGCUGAGCUGCGUGGGUCCUCUGCUCACCAGACUUGUACGCUGUGCUUGUGACCAGCACACCUGACCAGUGGGCUUGCUGGCCGUGGGGCUGAGCAAAGGAAAGCAGAAAAAGUCACAGGGAUUCGAAAGUCCUACUGACAAAUCAGCAGCCUCUCCACGUCUUCUUGGGCAGUGUUCUACUAGAAAACCAUAUAAUUCUAUGGUUGUUACUGAAAAAGCCUGAAAACAACAAAAUGCAAUGUUCCCUGCAAAAAAAAAAGCUGAAGAUAAUUCACUUGACGCCUCCCCAUGAGCUUUGUCAUUUAAUUUCAGGAAAAAGAGCUGCUAUAAUCAUAUUAAAUAAUGUAAUUUCCUCCUAGUAAGUGAACAACUGUCUACUGUCAAGGGUCCAAAAGGCCAAAAAGGUAAGAGAGAAAAUGAGCAUCAAACUGUAUUCUAGAAUUCCUAGUCAAAAAUUAUUUCCUUUGCUAGAUUUUAGCUGUUUUCCUUUUUGAGAAAAUUAUGUUGGACCAUAGAAAGAAAAAACAUCAGGCAGGAAGAAGUGUAUUUAAUUUACUGAAUACCCAUGUAAUGAGAUGGGAAGGUUAUUUUUUCCAGUUAUUAACAGUAUAAACACAGUUCCUGCAUUUCAACUGCAACCCUUAUUGUCUUGUCCCUAAAAGGUAUAUGUUUAUUUUUAGAUGAAUAUUAACUGCCUUCUACAACAUACAGAAAAAAACUUCUACAACAUAUAGAAGAGUACACCAAAAAAAUAUAUACAUGUUUCAGGAAAAGAAAAAUCAUAUGCUGCUUCUUCAACAGAUAGUGUUACCCUCUUAUGGGGGAUACUAGAGGAUGUCAUAUAUCACAGAAAACCCACUGCACUGCAGCCCUUAGAGAAGAAACUGAAAAUGCACGUACAGCUAUCUCAAUGACCGAGGUCACCCAAGCAGCAAUUUGCCAUACUAAUAAAAGUCUUGAAGCUCAUGGCUACCACUUUGAGCACCUCUUGUAAUUGUAGAGGCCAAAGGUAACUUGUAUUAAUCUCAUGAUAUUUCAAUAAAUUUACUAUUAAAAUAUUUAUACAAGUUUUUCUUUUCCUGAAGUGUGUAUAUAUAUUUUUUGGCACUCUGUAUAUAAAUCAACAUAUUUUAAAAUGAAUUAUUGCAUUUGUUCAACCAUUAUGUUAAUCAUUUAACAAUCUAACAGCUCUUAUUGGAAAGAAAAACAAUCACCUUUCAUACAAGAUAACAUGUGCUACAAUGAAAUAUUGCUUAAUGUGUAACUUUUACCAGUUCUGUUGUUUUUACUCCCAAUAUGCUGUUAGUGUGCUAGAAAUGUACUAGAAACUCUACAAAGCUUUUAGGAAGACAAGACUUCUCACAGGACCAACUUCUUAGUACAUACCAGGUGUGAUCAAAAGAUACUGUGAAUGUUUAAGUAAAAUAAAAUUUACAGUAAAAGACACAUUGCUACGAAUCCCUCUCAAAAUUGUCCCCCUUACUUCGAACACACUCAUCCCAUUAUCCUUGCCACUUUCUGCAGGAGCUCUGAAGUCCUCUUUCCUGAGUGUCUUUAGUUGAGCUGUCCUGGCUGCCUUGAUGUCCUGAAUGGAUUCAAAACAUUUCCCUAUCAUGAUCAUUUUGGAUUAGGGGAACAGCCAGAAGGCACAUGGUGCCAGAUCUGAUGACUGAGGAGGAUGAGGACUCCCCACCUUGACGUCCAAGCUGUAAACAUGACUGUCGUGGCCUCUGAAUGAUUUGCUGCCCAGACUGCUCAGACACGAGGAAACAAAUCACUAGGCACUGCAGCCAGGAAGUUCCCCAGGGCUUCUCUCCUCAAAAGAUUUGCCCUGGAAAGCCUUGGAAUCAAAUUUGCAUGUCUACAUCUCCAAGCCUCUGAUGGCUGUGGCUUGUUGAUUCCUGAGACACACGUGGGUCAUGGUUCCCAUUGUCUCAGUAGAAAGCCCCUGUCUUCUUUUUCUUGGUGCCAACAACAAGACCUUCCUUGGCUGCACCUUUCAAUGUUCUCCUGUUCUCAGCUGGCUGGAAUUUUUCAUCUUUCUCCUCUGCCCCUCUUUGCUCCUGAUUGUCACUGUCAGUUUUGUUAAACCAUCCAGUCAUAUGUACGCCACUGCCUGAAUUCUGUGCUGCCUUAUAAUUUCCAGUCAAAAAAAUCUGACAGAUAUUUUAGUCUAUCACCUUUAAGAUUGAUUACCUGCAACGUCUCAGGGCACAGAUGCAAUGCACCCAAGUUCUUGGCCACGGUAUCCUAAGGGUGGUCUCUAGCCCUAUUUCCAGCCCAGCCUUGAUUUCCAUCUGAAGUCUCAUCAGCAUAAUCUUUCCUGUCCACUUUCCCACCAACAUUCUGGACUUCUGAGCCCCCAGGAAUGGCCUGUUAAGCUCCAUCUACAACAUCCUCGGCUUUUUCUAGCCUGUUUCUCCAUACUUUCCUAGAUUCUUCCUGUAAGUCAGUUUCCAAAGACACCCCAUGCCCCCAUCAUCAGGUAUAGUCACAGCAACAACUCUACUUUUUGGUACCAAUUUUCUAGGAUUCCUCAAGGUGGUAAUUGACAAUGAAAAUUAACCCUCACAGACACUAGCACUGCGAAAGCCAGUGUUGUAGAAAUAUAAAGAACGUGUAAAAUGAACCAUCUCUUCUGAAGCCAGAGGAUCAUAAAGUGAAGAUACAUUGCAUCGUUAACCACACAUGACGAUGUCCUACCUCAGCAACCUUGGAAGACAUGAGGGGACACUGACUGUGGAAAACCCUGAACAAUGGGUAGGCAUUGCUUGCACUGGCAUAGGAGCAUCAGAGGCAAACUUCCAAGGGAGGCCCAAGAGGGGACAAUCGGAGAUGGAACUUCCUGAAAGCUAUGUUCUCCCCAGAAUGCAGUCCAGAAUAGUGGAAACCAUCUCCCUCGGGGAGCUGAUUUCUUAACAUCCAGCAGGCAGUGACAAGAGGAAAUAACACCUCAGAGGAUGUGUGACCAUUAAGAAAGCCAUGAAAGAAAGCACAUUCCAAAUCCUGUGGAACAUCUGGGAAUGAAAAUCUUUGACUUGUUCAAAGCUGCAUAGAAAUCUAUACUUAGAAAGUAGACAGAAAUAUCCUGAAUUUGUAACUUUUUAUUAGACUGGCCAGCAAUCAGCACUGUGAUUGAGGGCUCAGACAUGGGAGUUAGGGCUCUACCAGGACUAGGAAUCCAGACCAGAGCUGAAGGUGCAAGCAAGUAACUGAGAAAAAAGACCAGUGACUGAGGAUCCAGACAAGUAACUGAGGAUCCAGACCAGUCAGUGACUGAAGAUCCAGACCAGCGACUGAGGAACAGACUAGUGACUGAGGAUCCAUACCAGUGACUAGGGAUCCAGACCAGAGACUGAGGGCCGGGGAUUUAGCUCAGUGGUUCCACUGCCUGCCUCGAAAGCUCAAGGACCUGAGUUCGAGCCUCGGUACCAAAAACAAAAAACAAACAGACCAGAGACUGAGGAACAGACCAGUGAUUGAGGAUCCAGAUCAGUGACUGAGAUCCAGACCAGUGACUAAGGAUUCAGACCAGAGAUCAGAGAUCCAGACCAGUGACUGAAGAUCCAAACAAGAGCAUGUGGAAACAUUCCCCAGUACAAAAGUUUAUAGUACAUUUGGAAAAUUUCAAUUUCCAGAGUCCCUUCUAGAGCAGAGUGUAAAGAGAAAAUAAAAGAGAAAACACCAUUCUAAAUCCUAUUCUAUGUUCUUGAACUUCCUCCUGAAGUCUAUGAUAAACGAUUGGUGAUUUAAGAAGGCUAUUUACAUUAUCAUAUUCAUGUUUCCUGGGGGUGGUUACAGGGAAAAGACAAAGGGAUUUGAGGCUACUGGUAGGUCAUAAGAAAACUUUCCAACAGUUCACCCAUCCUCUCAUCGACCCAUCUGUCCAUCCAUCCAUCCAUCCGUCUUUUCAUCCUCCACCUUUUAUUCAACUAUUCGUCUAUCCGUCCAUCCCUCCUUCCAUCACCCAUCCACCCAAUCACUCCUUCCUUCUGUGACUCAACAGAGAGACAAGUGCUAUUUCAGUCCUCCAGAUAUAACAGUCUGCACUUACAGAAUUCUUUUCUUUUCUUUUUUUUUGUACCGGGGAUCAAACUCAGGACUUUGCACUUGCCAGGCAGGCAGCAGUACCAAUGAGCUAAAUCCCUGGCCCCACGCUUACAGAAUUCUUGCUUCAGAGAGCAGACGCCGGCAACAAGCUAGCUAAAUAAAAUGAAAGAAAGUUAUAAGUAGUUCCAAGAUGGAAGGUGAAAUAAUGCAGAAGGAAAAAUAUGCUAAGACACAAAUGACCUAAAGCAGAACCUAUAGUGUGUUUGUGUGUGUACAUUUGUGGUUGGAACCCAGGGGUGCUCUACCACUGAGCUAUAUCCCCAACCCUUUUUAUUAUGAGAUAGACCAUCUCUAAAUUGACCAAACUGCCCUUGAAAUUGUCAUCCUCUUGCCUCAGCCUCCUGGGUAGCUGGGAUUGCAGGUGUGCCACACUGUGCUCAGUGGGAAUCUACAUUUGAUAAGGAGCCUGAAAUGACUGUCUUUAAGAUAUGACAUCUAAGUUAAAACUCGAGAAUGGCAAAAAUCGCUUUUCAGUAAUACAAGUGAAAAAAGGAGAUAACCCAGAAGUAGGACGUGGACAUAGGUUAGAGAAAGACUUGGCUUCUCAAGAAAAUCAACCCUUUAAAAAAUUGUUUUAUCCUCAGAAUGACAUUCUCAGCAAUGUACGUUUCUCUACCUGCAUUUAAAAGUACAGAGUGGGAAAAUACAUGCUUGAACUGGGAGCUGUUUACAACCCCCAUCCAGUAAUUCAUUCACUCAGUCAGCAAAUAUUGACUGUGGCCCAUCACAGGCUAAGCACAGUUCUGGGGAGGUUGGGAUCUCAGGAAGUGCAAAGGUCACUCCUAUUGCUGGGGUUAUUUAAGAUGAAACCAGCUUAAUAGAAAAAGAAAUAGAGAAUUAAUAAAAUAAUUAAAAUGAAAACCAUAAUAAUGUAGAACACCUUCACUCCGCCUCGUCUGUGUACUGAAGACAGCAGUAUUUCAGUCAGGGCAUUUUUGCUACUUUCUGAGUGGAAGGAAGCACAUCUCAGAGGCAACCUGUGCUGAGGAGGCCUGGUGUGUCCGCACUGUGCAGAGGUGGAUGGGUACCCAGCCUGGUGCAGCAUUGGGAAACUUACAGAGUUUUGGGCCAUGAGAAGGACCCUCAUGUCCACUCAGCCUGUCUCCUUGCUGUAGGGAGCCACAUGGGGGCCUGUUGGCCUGAGAAUGCCACCGGUUCUCUUUGGUGUUAACCGUGAUGUGACUCUUGACAUCUGAUUUUGCUCUACCAUUUGUCAGGUGUUGUUAAUAAAUGUUUGAGUAUUGCCUCAUAGAUUCUUUAGACAUUUUUAUGUCUGUAGUCCAGCUACCUCUCUACCACAAGCUAAAUUUAUUUUUUUUUAAAUAAAAUGCCUUCCUGUACCAUGCCUCCCUUGCAAGCUCAAGGUCCGAAGUUCAAUCCCAGGUACCAAAACAAUAAAACAAAAUAAAAGUGCUUUCUCUAGUAUGUCCCUUGCAUAAUUCCAAAGUGCCUAAAGUGAAGUGAAUCAGCCUCCCAGUGAGAGGAAACCCAAGGUGGAGUAGACAGCCAGGCAGCCAAGGGGGUGGCCUGAGACCUUCCUUCAAGAUCUUGGCUUUUAUUUUCCCAUAUGUAGAAUGGGUUUACUAAUCACUUCUUUUUCAUGUACAGAGUCUUUAAAAAAGGAUUUAAUAAAAUAGUAUCCCCUUCCCUUAACCCAUAUAAACCUUGUUCACCACCAGCUCCGGGCUGAUCGCUUUGUGGAGAAACCUCAAUCAGUCCUCCAGUGUAAUAAAGCUGUACACUUGGCUCCAACCUCCAGCAGGGAUCGAACUUGGGAGCUUGCACUUUCGAGGCAGAUGGCAGAACCACUGAGUUAAAUCCCCAGCCCCUAGACCUAAAUUUCUUUAUGGCAUAAUGUAGAAAUUAUUUUUUGGAUGUCUUAGAAUAAUCUGGUUAUUUCUGUCUAUUUUACAAUAUUUGUCAUAAUAUUUUACAACAGUUAUUUUAAUAUUAGUUUUUAAGAUUUUAUGACAACCCAGGAACAGUGAUAUUGCAUUUACUGCCGGAGAAUUCUGCUUUUCCAAGCCUUGUUAAUGCUGAGCAGCCUCUGGCCGACCUUGGGCUGAAGCUUUGAGAAGACAGGUAAAAGUGCACUGAAGCCCUUUAUGUUACCCAAGAAAGGUGCAUGUUCAUCACCAUUCCCAUCGUGGUUACUUUCCAGGAAAACUUUUUGGCGGGUCAAGGAGAGAUCACUCCGCAUUUUAUAGGUAUUUCUUAUCCUUGUAUAUGCAUUGUUUUUCUCCCUCAAAAUGUUGACAUACCUGUCAGAUCGGAGAAAUCAGAUUUGAAUGAACUAGAGCCAACUUACGCACCCUGACUUCUUCAGCCCUGAGUGCCCAAGAGCCGCUCCCAUGGUGGUGUCCCAGGUACUGGUGCUGUGCUGGGCCUGCUGGGUCCCCAGCUCCUUUGGGUAGCUUGCUAGGAAACCAGUUGCAGCCCGCCCAUCCCACACGAUGAGGGACCCUGGACUAGUUUCCAGUGAGAUCCCAGGUGAUUCGGGCCCAUAUUCAAGGUCGUCAUGUUGAGCACACAGGAAACCACAAGCCAAGCAGCAGUGGGGAACACUCUCAGGAGCUCCGAGUCUGGAUUUGAUUCUGCUGCUUGAUCUUAAGCAGUGUUUCUGAGAUCUGAGAACACAUCAAUGAUUUUCAACUUUCUUAAGCAGGGAAAUCUCUACGUAUUUUUUCCAAGUGUAAUAAUUGGCAGAGCCCAAUUAAAAGAGUUGUUUCAGGCCAAGUGAGGUCAGGCCUCUUCCUGAUGGCUCUGGUUUCUGGUCUGGGGCUGGGUUCCUGUGACACAGGGUUAGCUCCAGACCAGGGCUCCUCUUUGGAUCAUGGGCAGAACCUUUGGGAGACAGCUAGAUUAUGGGGUGUAUAACUGACUUGCUGUUAGGAGGCAGGGCCUGGUCAGAAGAGGCGGGUCGCUGGGUGUGUGGCCUGGAAGGGUCAUCUUCCUCCCUUGACCUCUCUGCUUCCAGCUGCCAUGCCAUAAGCUGUUUCUCCUCUGCCAGGCCCCUCUGCCAGGCUGCCCAGCCUUAGAGCCAGCCAACUAUGGACUGAAACCUCUACCAAGUGAACCAGAAUAAUCUCGUCCUUUAAGUUCUGGGUGUUGGGUAUUGUGUCUCAGCAAGGAGAAAGUGACUAAGACACAGGCCUUGGCCAGAGCAGUUGAUUGAGUGGGUUCAUGCUAGGUUAAAGUAAUGAAUAUGGGGGUUGAGAUUGGUAGUAUGUACCAGAAAACUCAACGACCAACUUGGCUCCUUACUCCCAGCUCCAGGGAGCCCAGCUGGGGCAGCAAGUGAAGCAUCAGAGGAAAAGAGGGAAGACAGCUCCCUCCUGGGAUGCUGUGAGCUGAAUGUCAUCUGCUGUGAACAUGUCCUUUCCACUGUCCUCUUGCUCAUACUUUUGGGGCUUGAAGUAGGAGAGGCCUCUAGGCUUUGCCAUAGCCCUGUGUCUUCCCUACAGUCCCUCCACAGCUUUGGAACGAUGCUAUCAUGAAACCUUCCUCUGACCAUUCUAAUGACAAGGCGAGAGUAGGCUAAUAGCCGUCUCUGGCACAGGGACCCUGACCUCCAACCCCAUCUGCUCACAUGCCUCAUUACCCCAAACAACCCUCACUACAUGCUGCCCCAUGCUCAAAGUCCAGGCUUCUGGACCAAGAGCUGUGCUUCCAGCAAGGACCAGGUGUGGUUCUUCCAGGCCACUUAGCUCAAAGCUAGGACUGCAGCCCACAGCACGGGGACAGGCCACACAGCCCUGAAGAACUGGCACUGUGCUAUAGUCACUGGCCACAGCACAUGCAGACACUGGUGAGGCAUGAGCCCUGAGGCAGAGGCCACAGCCUGUGAUUGGGUGUCCCUCAGGACCACAGGGAAAACCAGGCAGCCUCUCACCUCCUGACCCCAUGUGUGAGAACAGUGACACACACGUGUGUACUAUGUGUAGUUAAAGCCACUCUGAUUUUUCUGUUACAUGUUUAAAAGUCACCGCUAAAUCACUGUAGAUCAACUAUGGCCUGGGCAGGAUGAACUUACUUGCAGUUUGAACGGAAUAUGUGUUAUCAACCUCGAAAAUAAAAACAUAAUAUCUCAGAUGCAGAAGGGGAGAAGCAAAGAGAGCUGCUUAUAGACUGGAAGGACAAGUGGCAUUGUCUAAAAUAAAUGUGAGUAAGGUGCAUGCAUUUAAACUUUGCAAUGGAACAAUGGAGAAACAAAAAUUAGAGAAAUAGUUGCAUGUAGCAUUAGUGGGGUGGAGUAGCUAAAUCUUUAUCAUGCUCAGAAAUCAGCAGACAUCAUUAAAACAGUAUAACUUAUUUAAAGUAAUCUAAAUCAGUGGUAGACAACCCUGGGUUUGAUCUCCAGCACUGUAAAAAAAUUGAUCAAAUAAAUUCAUCAGCCCGGGUGUGUCUGAUUUAACUCGUCACCCUUUGAUACUCUUAAACUGCUGCUGUUCCCAUAGUAACCUUUGCUAAUUUAUGCCUCUGUUAAAUGAAACUUUAAUUCACAUUAAAUUCUGCUCUUUUUUGACCAUGAGUUGUUGUUUUAGGCAUUUUUGUGUCCAAUUCUUUUUCUGUUUACUGUUGUGAUUUUUCCCCUCCUGAAUAUUUUUUCUAAUAGUAUAAAUAGCUAUAUAUUGUGCCAUGUGGAUGGCUAAGCUUCACUAAGAUAUGCUUAGAGAACAUGGUAUGACAGACUUUCUCUUUAUAUUUUGUAGAAUAAUACCAGUAAUAUUGAAUGUGGACUUUAAAAAGAAGGAAAAACAACUUUCCCCAACCUAAGCAAUUUCCCCUUAGACUUUCCCCUCCCUACAGCUGUUGUUCUUUGUUCUAUUACAAAUAAAAUCAGUAACUUUAUCCCUGUAAGUAAGGUCUCACAACCUCUUCUUUUCAUAAUAUCCCAUUUUUACCUAACCAAGGCCACCAAGAUAAGUUACAAACUGUCACAGUUUAACUGCCUUGAUUCCGCCUCUGUCCCCAAGAUUUAUACUGUUAGGUAGAGCAAUCCCCCUUUGCAACAUGUAUAAAACUAGAGCCCUUCCUUUGCUCUGGGCUCAGUCGUUGGACAUGAGU
Molecule: non-coding RNA, 10018 nt
Organism: Heterocephalus glaber (naked mole-rat)
Lineage: Eukaryota; Metazoa; Chordata; Mammalia; Rodentia; Bathyergidae
Source: RefSeq, a predicted model, not a curated record